RNAcentral lists this unclassified non-coding RNA (2034 nucleotides) under Foxtail mosaic virus. Lineage: Riboviria; Orthornavirae; Kitrinoviricota; Alsuviricetes; Tymovirales; Alphaflexiviridae. The record is from RNAcentral.
GACGAAUUAAAUAACAAUGGAUAGUGAAAUAGUUGAACGACUAACAAAGCUUGGUUUCGUCAAGACUUCACACACGCACAUCGCUGGCGAGCCCCUCGUGAUUCAUGCUGUUGCUGGGGCCGGUAAAACCACCCUCCUUCGGUCCUUACUUGAAUUACCGGGCGUGGAAGUCUUCACAGGCGGGGAGCACGAUCCUCCAAAUUUGUCAGGGAAAUAUAUCCGCUGCGCUGCACCCCCUGUGGCCGGUGCAUACAACAUUCUCGACGAGUACCCCGCGUACCCAAAUUGGCGAUCGCAACCCUGGAACGUCCUAAUCGCCGACAACCUACAAUACAAAGAACCCACAGCUCGCGCCCACUACACAUGCAAUCGCACUCACCGCCUGGGGCAGCUCACUGUCGACGCUUUGUGUAGGGUUGGUUUCGACAUCACCUUCGCCGGCACGCAGACUGAAGACUACGGAUUCCAGGAAGGCCAUCUCUACACCAGUCAAUUUUACGGACAGGUCAUUUCACUUGACACGCAGGCCCAUAAGAUCGCUGUGCGCCACGGACUUGCACCCCUGUCCGCUUUAGAAACCCGGGGGCUGGAAUUUGAUGAGACCACUGUGAUAACGACUAAAACCUCGCUGGAGGAAGUGAAGGAUAGGCACAUGGUCUAUGUCGCUCUCACACGGCACAGGCGCACCUGCCAUCUCUACACCGCUCACUUUGCGCCCUCCGCCUGACAACACGAAAGCCAUACUAACUAUAGCUAUAGGAAUAGCCGCCUCCCUCGUCUUUUUCAUGCUCACACGCAACAAUCUGCCACACGUCGGUGAUAACAUCCACUCACUACCCCACGGAGGAAGUUACAUUGACGGUACCAAGUCCAUCAACUACCGCCCACCUGCGUCACGCUACCCCUCAUCUAACUUACUCGCUUUCGCUCCACCAAUACUCGCCGCAGUGCUCUUUUUCCUCACACAGCCAUAUCUAGCUACCAGACGAUCCAGGUGCGUUCGGUGCUUCGUUGUCCACGGCGCAUGCACGAAUCACACCUAGUUGUUAUAUUAGCGCUGUUACUUUUAGCUCUGUGGUGUCUUAGCACUCGACCCGUUCAACCAUCGUGCCAUGUCGAAAUCAACGGCCACUCCAUCAUCGUCACCGGAAACUGCUGGCACUCCACUCAACGACCGCAUUGAGGGUGUUAGGGUAACCAACAUCAGUGAAGAGAAACAACCCACCUCGAGUGUGACCUCAUCAUUUCAGGACACAAUGGCACCACAAGAUGCCGACGUCACUGAUGCGACGGACUACAAGAAACCGCCUGCUGAAACUGAGCAGAAGGCACUCACCAUUCAACCACGGUCAAACAAGGCGCCCAGUGACGAGGAGUUGGUACGCAUCAUCAACGCGGCGCAGAAGCGAGGCCUCACACCCGCGGCCUUUGUUCAAGCAGCUAUAGUCUUCACCAUGGAAUCCAUGGACAAGGGCGCCACCGACUCCACGAUUUUCACGGGAAAAUACAACACUUUCCCAAUGAAAAGUCUGGCGCUAGCUUGCAAAGAUGCUGGCGUGCCCGUGCACAAACUUUGCUACUUCUAUACCAAGCCGGCUUACGCGAACCGUAGGGUCGCCAACCAGCCGCCUGCUCGCUGGACCAACGAGAAUGUGCCCAAAGCUAACAAGUGGGCGGCUUUCGACACCUUCGACGCACUUCUCGACCCAUACGUAGUCCCAUCCUCUGUACCGUACGAUGAGCCCACGCCAGAGGAUCGCCAAGUCAAUGAGAUUUUCAAGAAGGACAAUUUGAGUCAGGCAGCAUCCAGAAACCAACUCCUAGGAACGCAAGCCUCCAUCACGCGCGGGAGACUCAACGGCGCACCAGCACUACCAAACAACGGGCAGUACUUCAUCGAGGCACCUCAGUGAUCAGUAGUAUGAUACCAAUAAAUAAAUCGGGCGAAUCCGCGCCUCCUGACUAUGGGCAGGUUUACGGACCAAGCUGUAUCGAGAUACGACCUAACAGUAACGCAGCUAAGGGGUGAAUGCA